CUGUAAAGCCAGCAUGUCGUAAGUUAGAUAUAUCAAGGAAGCCUUUUCGGUUUGAAAAUAUAGGGUACUCUUAUACUGGGAUUGAUGAUUUGAUUAAGAAGUGGUGAGUUGAAACCCCUUCUUCUGAAGAUGGAGCAGCUAAUAUGGUUCUCAAGCUCCGUUACCUAAGGACUAAAAUGGAGCAAGCAAGUUGUGGGUAAUAUUAUCGAUAGGAAGGAAACCUCAUCAACUCAAAUCAACAGUUUGGAUGAGCUAGA
Molecule: long non-coding RNA, 257 nt
Filed under: Elaeis guineensis (African oil palm)
Lineage: Eukaryota; Viridiplantae; Streptophyta; Magnoliopsida; Arecales; Arecaceae
Description: long non-coding RNA (EGUI_LNC028138)
Source: RNAcentral